GCUGGUGUAUUGGGUGCUGCUUUGCAAUGCGCCAUUCGUGGUGCUACCGUAGAAAAUACUUUAUUUGAAGACGGUGAUGGUGCAAAUAGAUUCCGUGCUUUUAACCCAACUCAAGCCGAAGAAACUUAUUUAAUGGUCACCGCUAACCUCUUUUGGUCCCAAAUCUUUGGGGUUGCUUUUUCAAAUAAACGUUGGUUAUAUUUCUUUAUGUUAUUUGUAGCAGUAACCGAUUUAUGGAUGAGUGCUCUUGGAGUAGUCGGUCUAGCUCUGAACCUACAUGCCUAUGACUUCGUUUCUCAGGAAAUUCGCGCAGCGGAAGAUCCUGAAUUUGAGAUUUUCUACACCAAAAAUAUUCUCUUAAACGAAGGUAU
This 371-nucleotide long non-coding RNA is filed under the name Nicotiana benthamiana. Its description in RNAcentral is "long non-coding RNA (NBEN_LNC021739)". The record is from RNAcentral. Lineage: Eukaryota; Viridiplantae; Streptophyta; Magnoliopsida; Solanales; Solanaceae.